Cryptomeria japonica (Japanese cedar) is the source of this 525-nucleotide long non-coding RNA. RefSeq lists it as uncharacterized. The record is from RefSeq and is a predicted model, not a curated record. The transcript has 4 exons. Lineage: Eukaryota; Viridiplantae; Streptophyta; Pinopsida; Cupressales; Cupressaceae.
CCGCUCAUACGCAUUUAAAACGUUGCUUUGUGGAACGUCACAUCAUAAAAUAAAGCACUACGUUUCGCACGUAUUAAAUGUGGGUUUUGCCUUAGACGGCGCCUGUUUUUUGGGAAAAAGCAGUGAGACAGGAUAACGAUAAUAUAACGCGCGCUCCUGGGAAAAAAGCAGUGGGACGGUAUAACGAUAAUAUAUUUUGAGUUCAUUGCAAAUUCUUUACAUAUACAUUGCGAAUUGAAGAGUACGAGGAAGCAUAGGCCAUUUCCAUUUGCCGGUUUAAAGAUAUCGAUAUUUCAGUGACGAGUGCAUUCACUUUAUCUUCUUUAAAAGAUGGCAGAACAAAAGUGGAAAUCACCAUUGUCAUUAGCUUUUAGUGCAAAAUGUUGAUUCGAGUAUUAGCGGAGGCUUGAAGAUAAAACCUUUACAUUUGAUAUUUUCCGGGUUAAUUGCUGUUAACAUUUGCUUUUGAACUAUUUAUUCUGUAUGUACAUCCUCCAUAUCAAAUGUUAGCUGACGUUAUAUCCA